UACUAUUGGUAUUUCCCUCCAAUUUUUUACAUCACCUCGUUCUAGGCCCAGCCCCAGAAGUUUACCUUGGAUGAAAGCCCCCGGAGAUUCAAUUUUCAUUGAAGACAAAGCCAAAUUCUCAUAUAUAUCAAGCGAAGAAGCUAUUGAAACUGCCAAGCUUCUUGCAGUGAAGGAGGGUUUGCUGGUAAAGUGACUUAUCUAUCAUGAGACAUUGAGACUUCAGACCCCCAACCUAGGAAACAAUGCGCACACCGACUAAUAUCCAUAUUCAACUGAUUUCCUGGGAUGUAUGGAGAUCGUGGCAAUUCAGAGUUUUUUGCCGCGUGCUUAUUAGUUGGCUUCUUUGUGAUUCUUUCUGUUGCACAUUGCAGGUCGGAGUAUCAUCAGGUGCAGCUGCUGCAGCUGCAAUCAAUCUUGCAAAGAGGCCAGAAAAUUCUGGAAAGCUCAUUGUGGUGGUCUUCGCAAGCAUUGGAGAGUGUUAUUUGUCUACUGCGAUUUUUCAAUCUGUGAAGCAGGAGGCAGAGAAUAUGCUUUAUGAACCUUGACUAAUUUCCUCAACGUGUCCACAUACUUUCAUCUGAUUUAACUGACACAUCAAGAACAAAUUCCAGCCGGCCCUUUCUAAUGAAGAAUUGUCCCCGUGACAAGUAUUUAACAA
Syzygium oleosum is the source of this 658-nucleotide long non-coding RNA. RefSeq lists it as uncharacterized. The transcript is spliced from 3 exons. NCBI's taxonomy places the organism in Eukaryota, Viridiplantae, Streptophyta, Magnoliopsida, Myrtales, Myrtaceae. The record is from RefSeq and is a predicted model, not a curated record.